AGUCAUUUGACACGAAUAUAAUCUACUUCGAUAAAGAUUAAAGCCCGAAUUUGACAUCUCCGACAUCGUAUAGUCGUAAAAGUAAUAAAUGUAAACCUUCACCUUUAAUGCAGACUCAAGGAUAUUGUAUUGUUCCUAAGCCACUUAAACCAGCCCCAAAAUGUGAACCUCUUAAUUCCACAUCAAAAGUCGAUGAUCAAUGGCAAGGCAGUUUUAAUGAAAAACUUAAGUAUCGUAACUUAUUGCUGCUCAGAGAAACACUUCUCCUUGUAAGUAAAAUUGACUUUGUUUAGAAAAAAAAUCACGCAAAACAAUAAUAAAAAUUGAUUCCUGACGAUGUACAAUACUUACUAAUUGGAGGCGGUACAGAUUCAUUUUCAGCAUUUAGAGCAAUCAAAUCUGCCGAUCCUACUGCUAGAGUUCUAGUAGUAUCAGCUGAAGGUUACCUCCCUUAUAUGAGACCACCCUUAUCUAAAGAGUUGUGGCAUAAUGACGAUCCAGAAACAGCCAAAUCACUAAAUUUCCAUCAGUGGAAUGGUACUACUAGAAGUCUAUUUUAUGAACCUGAACCACUAAAGGGGAAAAAAUGGAGUUAAGGUAUAUCAAAUAUUAGAAGAAAGUGGAAAUAUGGCUAAAGUAUUACCAAAAUAUCUUAGCCAAUGCACAACCGAGGGAGUGGAAGUUGUGUCUAAUACAGAAGUAGAGGACUGUAAUUUAGAAUCUGGUGGAAACCAAGUGAAUUUAAUUAGAAUUAAAUAAUAGUAAAAAAUUGAUCAUGUAAUAAUCAACAACGAGAAAAAGUUGGAAGAUGUGGUGGAUGUCGUCGAAGCCGAAACAACAUAAAUUAUCAGCCUGUAUUGUGCUUAUACUUUAAUUUAUCCUUAAAAUAAAAAAUUAAAUCUGCAACUUAAAUUUAUACAAUGAGUCAUAAAAAUAGUAAA
Molecule: long non-coding RNA, 941 nt
Organism: Adelges cooleyi (spruce gall adelgid)
Lineage: Eukaryota; Metazoa; Arthropoda; Insecta; Hemiptera; Adelgidae
Exons: 5
Source: RefSeq, a predicted model, not a curated record